GGGCUUUGAUUUAACCCCAUCAUCUGACACUGGUGAAGAUGUGUCACAAGACGUCAGUGUUACAUCAGAUCCCACUGCCCCCAGCACAGUUGGUGAAGUUGCGUCACAAGAGGAAGAACAUCAGUCUGUGGCCGACAUGAGCAGUACCUUCAGUGAGAUGGGUUUGCAAGACCCAUUGGACACCAG
Engraulis encrasicolus (European anchovy) is the source of this 186-nucleotide long non-coding RNA. RefSeq lists it as uncharacterized. The transcript has 3 exons. The record is from RefSeq and is a predicted model, not a curated record. NCBI's taxonomy places the organism in Eukaryota, Metazoa, Chordata, Actinopteri, Clupeiformes, Engraulidae.